RNAcentral lists this ribosomal RNA (548 nucleotides) under uncultured bacterium. RNAcentral's name for it is "partial 16S ribosomal RNA". It matches the Rfam family "Bacterial small subunit ribosomal RNA", at positions 355 to 896 of the family's 1533-position model. The record is from RNAcentral.
UAAGGAAUAUUGGUCAAUGGACGCAAGUCUGAACCAGCCAUGCCGCGUGAAGGAUUAAGGUCCUCUGGAUUGUAAACUUCUUUUUAUCUGGGACGAAAAAAGGCGAUUCUUCGUCACUUGACGGUACCAGAUGAAUAAGCACCGGCUAACUCCGUGCCAGCAGCCGCGGUAAUACGGAGGGUGCAAGCGUUAUCCGGAUUCACUGGGUUUAAAGGGUGCGUAGGCGGGCAGGUAAAGUCAGUGGUGAAAAUCCUGGAGCUUAACUCCAGAACUGCCAUUGAUACUAUCUGUCUUGAAUAUUGUGGAGGUAAGCGGAAUAUGUCAUGUAGCGGUGAAAUGCUUAGAUAUGACAUAGAACACCUAUUGCGAAGGCAGCUUACUACGCAUAUAUUGACGCUGAGGCACGAAAAGCGUGGGGAUCAAACAGGAUUAGAUACCCUGGUAGUCCACGCCCUAAACGAUGGAUACUCGACAUACGCGAUACACUGUGUGUGUCUGAGCGAAAAGCAUUAAGUAUCCCCACCUGGGGAAGUACGACCGCAAGGUUG